Molecule: long non-coding RNA, 582 nt
Organism: Solanum tuberosum (potato)
Lineage: Eukaryota; Viridiplantae; Streptophyta; Magnoliopsida; Solanales; Solanaceae
Exons: 3
Source: RefSeq, a predicted model, not a curated record
AUUAUUAAUCGAAAGAAACAUUAUCGCUCCAAAAUGUGGAAGAUCAAUUGAACGGCAAGAUAUUCAACAUUCAAAUGAAAAGGCUAUUCACAAAAAAAAUGGAUGCAACACAAAAAUUAUUCAUUUUGUCUUUACCUGGAGAAACAAGAUGUAAUUCAUAAACCAAUGACAUCUACAACUGUCAAUGUUACAGAUGCGAAAAAGCGCACAAUUGAACAUCUUAGUUCAGGGGAAAAAGAAUAUCCAAGCAUGGCAAAUAAAUAUAAUCCUUCCACCCACAAACAUAGCAUGGAAAUGAAAAAUCAUCCCAUGAAAAAGAAUUAAAAGUUGGAACACUUUUGUUGUGGUUCUCGAAACGGUCAUUUUUUGCACUCUUUUGCUGCUGCCACUGAAUGCCGUGUUUUGCAAGCUUUUGAUGUUGCUAUGUGGAUGCCUUGUGUUCCUCUUCUUUUGUGGAAAUUGAAAAUAUUUUCUCAUGUGAUAGCAGGUGAUUUUGAUCAAAGAUGGUCCAGAAGAUCCAAGCAUGAAAAAUGCAUAUAUUUUUGUCUAAUUUAAAAUAGUAUGUAAAUCUAUGUAAUUAGC